Molecule: ribosomal RNA, 137 nt
Filed under: uncultured bacterium
Lineage: Bacteria
Description: partial 16S ribosomal RNA
Rfam family: Bacterial small subunit ribosomal RNA
Source: RNAcentral
UCGGGAAUAUUGCGCAAUGGAGGAAACUCUGACGCAGUGACGCCGCGUGCAGGAAGAAGGUUUUCGGAUUGUAAACUGCUUUAGACAGGGAAGAUAAUGACAGUACCUGUAGAAUAAGCUCCGGCUAACUACGUGCC